Molecule: long non-coding RNA, 1294 nt
Filed under: Equus caballus (horse)
Lineage: Eukaryota; Metazoa; Chordata; Mammalia; Perissodactyla; Equidae
Description: lncRNA (ENSECAG00000055001.1)
Source: RNAcentral
CUUGAGAGAGUAACAUGCUGCUGAGACCAUCUGGACAGUGUACAUGACUGAACCCGGUUAAAGCCUUUAUAUAAACUUCUAAGAUGCUGGUGGGCAGCUACGGAGAUCUACUUGUCUUGCUGCCACACAAGAGAAGCCUCGCAUUUUUCCCAAGCUUCAAACUCUGGAAAGCCAACCUUCUCCCUUCAAUGUAUCUGGAAUAGAGAAUUCCACAAGGAUCUCUUCUUUUGCAAGAAGACCUCACCUGCUGAUAAGACCAGAAGAUAUGGCAGAGCAUCUGGGACCAGGACUGCAGGGUCAAUAAUACUAGGAGCAUUUGGUACUGAGCCAAUCGCUUUUCUCCAUGUGGAAUGAUGAUUUGGUUGAAGAGACGGAAGUAACCUCUGCAAGAGUACAGAUGCAGGUUCCGAAAAAAUACCUACGCCAUUCCAAGCCUCUGCAUUCGGGUAUGUGAAUUCAAAAUGGCUAAUAGCCCAACUCCCAGGACUCCACACAGCAAGCCAAGCUUUCCCCUCCGGUAAAGACAGCUGGCUCAUUUUCAUUUACACGGAUCAUUCCUCUUCAACUCUGUAAGAUUGAGAUAUAAAUUUGUUGAGAUUUGUUUUGUCUAUUAUAAUGCAUUGAGUAUAAACUUGGAAUGAAAAGAUAGGCGUUCAAGUGCAGAUUCUAUAUUCUUUCUCAAUGCCUGACACGCGAGGAUUCAAGUUUUAAAUUUAUUUAGAGCUGGUACUGGCAGAGAUCUAGAGGUCAUGGUGGUAAUAAGCCAAACAGAAGGCAAUAAUGCAGCGCUGUCUGCUAAGGUCAACCUCUGUGGACACUGGAAACAUGAAGCUGGAAAUGGAGAACGUCCCCAACUCAAUUCAACAAGGCCAAAUGUAAUGGGCAUAUGGUAGGCAUUCAGCUUGUGGCAAACAAAACAAUUAAUAGAAUCUGAAUAUAAAAUGUUGCUGAAAAACUUUGCAAUCCAGAAAUUUAUAAAUAUUUACUGGACUAACCAAUAGUUACUAUUAUAACUUAGCCUAGAAAUUAUUAACCAUGCAUGACUAAUACUGAUUUUCCAUUCCAUGAGAGCCAUUAUGAUUGUUUUGUUCACCACUCUAUCUGUGGUGCCUACAAGAGGGCCUGAAAUGUAUUAGGUCGUCAAAAAUAUUUAUCAUGAAUGAACAAAGAGAUGAACAAGAAGACAUAGCCUAUGAUUUAUCUACAAUUAUUUGUCACACUUGUAUUUAUAAAAUUAAUUUUCCAACAGCUUUGAAGUAAUCCACCAAACUCCCAAGUACUUUUUUCCAUUUUG